AAGUCGAGCGAGCUGAAUUCAAAGAUCCCUUCGGGGUGAUUUGUUGGACGCUAGCGGCGGAUGGGUGAGUAACACGUGGGCAAUCUGCCCUAAAGACUGGGAUACCACUUGGAAACAGGUGCUAAUACCGGAUAACAACAUGAAUCGCAUGAUUCAAGUUUGAAAGGCGGCGCAAGCUGUCACUUUAGGAUGAGCCCGCGGCGCAUUAGC
This 210-nucleotide ribosomal RNA is filed under the name Lactobacillus delbrueckii. RNAcentral's name for it is "partial 16S ribosomal RNA". It matches the Rfam family "Bacterial small subunit ribosomal RNA", at positions 59 to 245 of the family's 1533-position model. The record is from RNAcentral. Lineage: Bacteria; Bacillati; Bacillota; Bacilli; Lactobacillales; Lactobacillaceae.